CGCAUGCCCAAAACUUUCCUCUCUUUCUCUCUUACAUGGAAUGUGGUUGUAGAUCAAGUCAAAGUAGGAAUUAGUUUGGAUUUCAAAUUCUAUGAGAUAGAGUUUUAGAAAACUAAAACUCUUUUCUUAUGGCACUGAUUUUAUCCAAAUUUUUUUAAAAUUUUUAUGACUUUUAUGGCACAUAUUGUGCACCCUUUGCUGGUGGUCCAUGGUAGAAAAAGGAGGGGACGCCCAAGAGUUGGACGCCCCUUGUCUUACCUUGUUUGGAUAAUCCUUGACUAGGUAUUUGACUUAGACAAAGACUCUUCAUAUCUCUCUAUUUAAAAUGAAUUUUUUCAUAAAAUUUUCGUGGAUCAUAGAGCAUUGAGAGACCUUUGAGGUGUCCAAAAAUUAAGGAGAAAGAGUCUUGGGGCAUAGAGAUCUAAUAGACACAAAACUAGGUGUCUGGGUUAGAGCAAAGAGAAGAAGAAGAGGGUCUUCUUCUAGAGUUGCUAGAUUCAUCUCUUUCCUUCCUCCAUCUGUAAGUUUUCUGAGAGUGUCUCAUCUAAAACUCCUUCUCCUACUUCUUAUCUUUGGAAGAGUCCAAAUCAAGAAGAAGGAGGUAUCUGAUCGACCAUCGAAGAAGGAUCAGUGCAGUACUAACAUACUGUGCUGAUUUCUUGGACCUGGACUUCUGAUCGUGAUUUGUGGGCUCGUGUAGACGACUCCUAAAGGCCGGAUACAUGUGCAGCUCGCAACACAUCCUCAAGCUCGGAUCAGCAAAGUUAGAACGUCUAACUUGCAAGGUAAUAGAUCUGAUCUAUUAUAUUUUACAUACAUUAGAUGUAGUAUAGCAACAUGUUGAUAUGAUCAACAUGUAGUUCUUGCUCUUUAUAUUUUAAUUUUUGAUUUAAUGCCAUGUAAUAAUCAUGUUAUAGGAUCUUAGAUCUAGAGAUUCUCUGAUUUUAUAAGAUAAAUUUUGAUUUAUUUUAAUCUUCUACUGUCUGAUCUUGAAAAAGUUUCAAGAUCUAACCCUGAAAUCUUAGAUCUGGUUCCUUCAAAUUUGAUAUGCUAGCAUAUUGUAUUAACCCAAGUUCCCAAAUUGAUUUAGAUCAAAUUGUUUGAGCUAACCUAUACCAGUUGGCUUUGACCUAAUGGGAUUGGAUCAAUUUGGAUUGGAUCUUUAUCUAACUUAGAUCAGUUUCAAGUGGAGUAGGAGUCCUCUGUGCCCACCAGAACCCACACACAAAAAUAAAUGCCGCCCUUCUUUUUUUUGGCAUGUGAAGUAAAAAGUCCUUAAAGAAGGCUCUUAACUAACACGCAUUGUCUUAAAUUCCCGAUCAGAAAUCCUAUGUUUUGUCACCAAAAUUCAUUGAAUUUUUUAUGACAUGUAGAAGACUAAGAGUUCUUCUAUUUCAAGUAAUUAGAUCACCAAAAAUUUACUCGAUGAAUUUAUUUGGUGCAUGGGAAGUUGGAGCACCAAAGGUUAGCGCCCUAGGAUGUGGUGAGAUUUUCAGCAAGUGUUGCUUGAGUGCCCUAGGAUUUGAUUUUUCUAUGUGUUGGAGUCAAAAAUCAAAUCUUAAGUUGCAUGACAUCUGAAGAGUCUCUUCUUGGUAUCAUUCUGGUGGUAAGAUUGAAAGCAACUGAGCUUUGGUGCGAUCAUGACAUAAGUUUGAAGUCGGUAGUAUUCUUAAAAAGACAAGGCUGCGGCAGCGCAUCGGUUGGGAAGGACCUUGGUCAUCUUCCAUAUGGAUCACCGUUGGAGAACUUCUAUCUUGGGGUCUUGUGGAUAGCACCAAUGUGCCACUUUUUUAUUUUGAUGAAAGUAUAAAAUUCUAUCCCUAUGUAUGCUUGUUUUUGCUUUGAUCGAUAUCGGCAAGGUGCUUCUAGAGUUUGGAUUCUGGCUCGAUAGUUUUAUUUAAUAAAGCUACUGCUUUGUAUGAUUUUAAAAUUUUAAAAAUUAUUUUCUACUAUGUGGCUAGAAUACAAUAGUAGUAUCAGAGCCACUCUUGUCUAAUUCGAUCAAACAAGUAUAAUUUGAUAGCAUAGAAUCAUUCUUAUUCAUAUCCUGCCAAAAAUGUAGCAUUGUUUUUAGCAUUGAUUCUUCAAACUGAAAAUUUAUUUUUGACUUUUAGUGAAUCAUG
This 2123-nucleotide long non-coding RNA is filed under the name Elaeis guineensis (African oil palm). RNAcentral describes it as "long non-coding RNA (EGUI_LNC043724)". Lineage: Eukaryota; Viridiplantae; Streptophyta; Magnoliopsida; Arecales; Arecaceae. The record is from RNAcentral.